Non-coding RNA from Pelobates cultripes (western spadefoot toad), 374 nucleotides. The record is from the annotation of a GenBank genome assembly. NCBI's taxonomy places the organism in Eukaryota, Metazoa, Chordata, Amphibia, Anura, Pelobatidae.
CUUAGGUUUAAAAGGAUUCUAAAGUGCAAGAAAUACAAAUCUGUAUUCCUUACACUAUAGUUCCCUCUGGUUCCCCACUCCCUUGCAUCCCCCCUACCAGCAUUGUAAGGGUUACACUUGUGGAAAAUACAAUUCCAGCGCCCAUCUCCCUCCGAUGUCACUUGACAAGGGGGAGCUAAUGCGCAUGCACAGUGAGCGCCGUGAGAGAAUUAAGUCUCCCCAUAGGAAAGCAUUGCUUCAACAAUUUCCUUUGGGGAGCAAGCAGGAAGUGCCUCUAGUGGCUGAUUGACAGCCACUAGAGGCAGUCUUAGUCCUACAAUGUAAUCAUUGCAGUUUCUCUAAAACUGCAAUGAUUUACAUUGCAGGAAUAAGGG